RNAcentral lists this long non-coding RNA (2020 nucleotides) under Lathyrus oleraceus (garden pea). RNAcentral describes it as "Pisum sativum (pea) long non-coding RNA (PSAT_LNC002129)". The record is from RNAcentral. Lineage: Eukaryota; Viridiplantae; Streptophyta; Magnoliopsida; Fabales; Fabaceae.
CAAAAUCUUCACCAUGUACCCGGGUCCAACGCGAGCAAUAGAAUGAGAAGAAGGAAAACACUUCUUUCCAAAAGCGGCAAUGCAUUCUUCAUGGCCGUUCAUGGCUUCAUCUCCUUCGAAUAUGAAUCCCCACGAGCGAAGAAGAAUCGCGACUUCCAAUCAUCCAUUAACGGCUCGAGCUCAACAUCAACCAUCCAAUUCAGUUGGCUCGCGCUCACAUAAACAAUGAAGAACAAAAUCGAAGUUGAGAAAACUCACCAGAUUUGGAGUUCCCAUUGCAACCAGGUUUGAAGCGCUUCUUCUCCCGCUGAUUUCAAUCCCUUCUUCUUCUUGGGUGUUCUGCUAUUGCGGUGGCGUUGUCGUUCAUUGCUGAUAACCAAGUUGUGUGGUUGUUAUGCGAGGAUAGCAGAGCUCGGUUUGGAAGCUCGAAAUGGAGGUGAUGAAUGUCUCAGAAUCCUGUGGAAGAUGAAGAUUGAAGGGGAUGCCGAAGCCUGAAAGAGAGUGAGAGUUCGAGCCUCUUGCGAAAUGUGCGUUGCGUUUCUCUUUUCUAUUCUGAGAUUUUGUGAUACUGGUGGAGAGAGAUGAAUGAAUGAUGAUUGAGGAAUUUAUAGAGCCGAGAAUGGCUAACUGAAUCGGGUAAUUGUGCAGCUAUUAGGGCAAUAUUUAACUCUUUUAAAUUUCAUAAGGUAAGUUUGUUAGUAGUUAAAAUCUGUUAGAAAUCUCAGUUAUGAUUUUGGUUAGUCAACUGAAUGUUAGUUAGUCAUUGGAAAACUUCUAUUAGAUUUGUUAGUUUAUGAACUCUGUUAUGAUUUUUGUGUGAGCUGGAAAUACGUAGUUUGUGAUAUGUAAUUGAAUGGAAUCAUUUGAAUAUUAUUUGAGUUAAUUUCAAUGAAUUGGUGGUUAUUAGAUGCAGGAUAUGAUUGAGCUACUAUGAGCUGAUAGUGCAGGUUAGUUGGAUGAUGUUUGUCAGUGGAUUUUCUGUUAUGAAUGUAUGCUGGUUAGAAUUAUGAUUUUUCCACUUAUAAUUAAGUUGUGAACUAUUUCCGCAUUACUCGGCAGUUUUUUUUUUGUAUUAAGUUCAGUUAGAAAUAUGGAAUUAGCUCACUGCGUAAUUAAUUAAUUAGUGAUGGAGUGCCUUUGGAACUAUUUCGUGUUCUUGGAACUAUUUUGUGUUCUUGGAAUUAUGCAGAUGAAAAUUAAGUCGUGAUUCUACUUCUCCUUAUGCAGGGUUGAACUGAUUUUUUUUCUGUGGAAUUGAUUGUCGAUGUCGUGGCUGCUAGGAACUGAUGUAUGCUUGGAACUAGAUUGUAUUGGCUAGCCUGCAAUCUAUUGUGUUCACUUGUUGCAGUACCAUGGUUAUGAAGGUAUAUUCCGAUUGGUAUUUGUAUGUUUUGAUGUUGCUUUUGCCAUGUGGUUUGUGAGUAGAAUAUAACACUGCCUAUGUAAUGCUAAAUUGCCACUGAAUGCUGUUUGAUAGGAGAAAGAAUGCUAAUAUUUUGUUAGUCAUGUUUAUGAAUAGAUAAAUGUUAAUUGCUUUCAAUGAUGAUUUGCCUUCCUGUUGAAAUGAAAAUGUCACUGCCAGCUGGACUUCCAGAUGCAAUUUGAAGUUAAUUAGGCUAGAUAUGGCAAUGCAUCAAGUGUCAAAUGAUUACUAAAUCGUGGACUAUUUUCUUGCAGGAUGGGUCAUGUGAUUGGAUGACCAAGUGGCGAUGUAUAACACACUGGGAGAUCAAUGACGGGCUUCCCAAAUUCCAAGCUUCUUCCCUCUCGAUUCGAGCUAUCUAAUAGCAUGGGAUGGUGCCAACAUGAUGUAAUAAAAUUAGGACAUGGAUUAGCUUGUUGUUUUAUGUUGUAAUGGGAAAAAAACUCACUUAUAAUAAUUUAUGUCAAACAAUGUUUAUGUAAUGUAACUUAACUUGUGAUUCAAAAUUCAAGCAAAAUUCCACUUCUAAAUUCCACUUCCUGGUAUGAAAUGUUGUAUAACAUGUUAUGGUUUGGAAAUUGUUUUGUUGUAUUUGAA